Molecule: long non-coding RNA, 855 nt
Organism: Saccostrea cuccullata (small rock oyster)
Lineage: Eukaryota; Metazoa; Mollusca; Bivalvia; Ostreida; Ostreidae
Exons: 2
Source: RefSeq, a predicted model, not a curated record
CUUGUUUACAUUUAUGCUUGAUUAAAUAAUACACACUUCACUAUACGUGCUGUAGAGCUAAAUUGAUAGAGCAGUUGUUCAUCCCAAACACGAGUUUUGAUUUUAUGUUCUCGCACUUAUUAGCCCAGCUUCCUAAGAGUUAUUGCUGGCUAACAAUUAUGGUCAAGAAAACAGUCUUGACUACAUCCAUUACAGCAAAACAAAUACAGAACUGUUGAUUCAUACAGAAUAGCAUCUGUACAGUAUUAUUAACAUGUUAUACAAACAUUAUCUAUGUAACUGUUGUGGUACAGAUCUAAUACAGAUAUUAUCUAUAUAAUUUUGUCUUACAGAGCUAAUACAAAUAUUAUUCUUGUAGCUGUAAUGAUACAAACUUGCUUGCUUGCUGCACUAUAUUUAUAUAUAUUCAGAUAACCACAGUGGUACAAUCCUGUCUACCCACAUAAUCAUAAUAUUUACACUGUUUACCUAUAUAGUGUAACAGCUGCCAGGGUUAUUUUAUCCUGAUGUAGAUUAAGAAUGAGGACUAAAUUGUUCCACAUUACUGUGAAAGUUUUGUUGCCUGACAAUAUUUGUUUCGUUCCAGGAUAACUUAGCUGCAGAGCCUCAAAGACCCACGACAGCCCGGCGCCGUCUUGACAGGCAGCGGUCCGUCAUCAACCAAGUGACAGACGUACAGAAACGGUGGAAGGAUACGGUACAGGAACAGAGGAAGCAGAUCUACGAUCAUCACUCACUACUCAACUAGAAACAGACACAUGAAAAACUACUCACUCCUCAUCUAAAGAGAUCUUAACUAGGAACUGAACAAAAUAAAGACAGCAGGAUGUGUGAUCAUCACUCACUACUGAACUA